UCUCCGUAGGUGAACCUGCGGAGGGAUCAUUACAGAGUUCAUGCCCUACCGGGUAGAUCUCCCACCCUAUGUUCUUAUUACUUUGUUGCUUUGGCGGGCCGUUAGGCUCCGGCCCGACUACCGGCCCCGGCUGGUAAGCGCCCGCCAGAGGACCCAAAACCCUGAAUAUUAGUGUCGUCUGAGUACUAUAUAAUAGUUAAAACUUUCAACAACGGAUCUCUUGGUUCUG
RNAcentral lists this unclassified non-coding RNA (229 nucleotides) under plant metagenome. RNAcentral's name for it is "partial contains small subunit ribosomal RNA, internal transcribed spacer 1, and 5.8S ribosomal RNA". The record is from RNAcentral.